AACUAGCAAAGACACUUGCGUCGGGCUUUGUGCUACGCUGCGCCGGGUGCAACAUCAUAUUCAUUUUCACAUCCUAUGGUUUGCCUGAUCAGUGAGGUCCAGGGCUCUACCAACCUGCAGAGGCCUGAAGCCAAGGAACAGCUACCUCUGGGAUGAUAUCAGUACUUACAUCCUAUGAGCAUGACACAGAUGGAGAAGAUCUUCUCAGAGUUGGUGUUUGGGGACACGUUUCCAAAUCCCACACUGGUCAGGCUGCUGAAGGUGAAGUACAGAGCUGUGACGUACUUGUCUUUGAUGGAGGGUCCCGAACCUGGAGUGGAUAUUUAGAGUACCUAGGACGGAGCUGUUGUAGUGCUUUCCCAAUUGGUCCCCCAGCGUGUGGAGCCAGCCAAUUGAACCAUUCCUCUCGACGCUACCGAUGGCAUACCUGGGAAAGAUAAACAGUUACAACAUGAUUGGAUGUAUAUAAUUACUGAUGUCGGCAAUAAUUAGACCAAAGAUAGACUAAAUUAAUUUUCAAACACCUAAUAGUGCUGUCAAAAAGAAUUUAUUAUUUAUGUUAGACUGUUCCAAUACUCAUUUUCUGCAGUUUCAAUUUCUACAAUUUGACUGUGGUCAGAAAAAAUGAACUUGGUGCUUGAGAACACAGUACACCUCUAUAAAAAAACACGAGAAACUAUAUUUUUAAAGCAUUGUAUUGAAGUUGAGAAAAUCAAUACUGUGACUAGCACUAGCACCCAUAUGCUACCAGCUGUGAUGUAUGCAGUCACACAGAGGCAGGAUUAUUCCCACAUUACUCCUCUGUGAGUAGACAGUCUUAUGGCAUCGUACCAGAUGCAGGCCAGCCAGUGAGCGAUGAGGGCGAAGGUGCACAUGAGGAGGAAGAGGACAGCUGCGCCGUACUCCGAGUAGCGGUCCAGCUUCCUGGCUACACGCACCAAUCGCAGGAGACGAGCAGUUUUCAGCAGACCAAUAAGAGUGGUGGUCUGAUGGGAGAUGGAGAGACAGAGAAUAGGUAUUGGUAAUGAGAUAUGGUUAUUGUAAAACAUGGCAGAGAGCAAAGUCCCUUGGCUCUGAUGUCUCCUCACAGCUUUCCCACCUGCUGUCUCACACACACACACACACACACACACACACACGUGGGGCAGCCAUUGCCUUGUCUCGAUGGGACUCACUGUGGAGGUGGUAAAUCCUGACUUCCUUUCAUUACUGUGGACUGUCUACUCCCUCUUCUUACUACUUGUAUUCAGCUGCCCCCCCUUCGUGUCCAUACAACAAAUAAAGAACAGGACGCUUACUGCGCUGGCA
Molecule: long non-coding RNA, 1308 nt
Organism: Perca flavescens (yellow perch)
Lineage: Eukaryota; Metazoa; Chordata; Actinopteri; Perciformes; Percidae
Exons: 3
Source: RefSeq, a predicted model, not a curated record